UAGGUGUUGCCCGUAUCGACCCGGGCAGUGCCGUAGCUAACGCGUUAAGUAUCCCGCCUGGGGAGUACGCACGCAAGUGUGAAACUCAAAGGAAUUGACGGGGGCCCGCACAAGCGGUGGAGUAUGUGGUUUAAUUCGAUGCAACGCGAAGAACCUUACCAAGGCUUGACAUCCCUGGAAUCUUUUGGAAACAGAAGAGUGCCUUCGGGAACCAGGAGACAGGUGGUGCAUGGCUGUCGUCAGCUCGUGUCGUGAGAUGUUGGGUUAAGUCCCGCAACGAGCGCAACCCACGUUUUUAGUUGCCAUCAUUCAGUUGGGCACUCUAGAGAGACUGCCGGUGACAAACCGGAGGAAGGUGUGGAUGACGUCAAGUCAGCAUGCCCCUUACGUCUUGGGCUACACACGUACUACAAUGCUACGGACAAAGGGCAGCCAAUCAGCAAUGACGCGCAAAUCCCAUAAACCGUAGCUCAGUUCAGAUCGUAGGCUGCAACUCGCCUACGUGAAGGCGGAAUCGCUAGUAAUCGCAGGUCAGCAUACUGCGGUGAAUACGUUCCCGGGCCUUGUACACACCGCCCGUCACACCAUGGGAGUUGGUCACGCCCGAAGUGGUUACCCUAACCGUAAGGAGGGGGACCCCUAAGGCAGGGCUGAUGACUGGGGUGAAGUCGUAACAAGGUAACC
Molecule: ribosomal RNA, 684 nt
Filed under: uncultured bacterium
Lineage: Bacteria
Description: bacterial SSU rRNA
Rfam family: Bacterial small subunit ribosomal RNA
Source: RNAcentral